GGACUACCAGGGUAUCUAAUCCCGUUUGCUCCCCUGGCUUUCGCGCCUCAGCGUCAGAAAAGGUCCAGCACGUCGCUUUCGCCACCGGCGUUCCUUCCGAUAUCUACGCAUUUCACCGCUCCACCGGAAGUUCCACAUGCCCCUACCUUCCUCAAGACGACCAGUAUCCAGGGCUAUUCUCCAGUUAAGCUGGAGGAUUUCACCCCGGACUUGAUCACCCGCCUACGCGCCCUUUAAGCCCAGUGAAUCCGAACAACGUUCGCACGGUUCGUCUUACCGCGGCUGCUGGCAC
RNAcentral lists this ribosomal RNA (292 nucleotides) under uncultured Planctomycetota bacterium. RNAcentral's name for it is "uncultured planctomycete partial 16S ribosomal RNA". The record is from RNAcentral. Lineage: Bacteria; Pseudomonadati; Planctomycetota.